Molecule: long non-coding RNA, 309 nt
Organism: Phalaenopsis equestris
Lineage: Eukaryota; Viridiplantae; Streptophyta; Magnoliopsida; Asparagales; Orchidaceae
Exons: 3
Source: RefSeq, a predicted model, not a curated record
UGUAGACUGCAGUUAUAGAGGCUUAAUAAGAUACAAAAGGAUGAGACAUUGUCAUCUAAAUACGAUAUGGAGAAUGAACACAAGCUUGUAUAAUGUUAGAGAUGGAAGGAUUAACUCCAGAAUAUAGUAAUAUAGAAGCAAAUGAGAGGCCUUUCAUGGCUUUCAUGUGUCUUGAACACCCUGGAAUGGUACCACAGGGGUUUUGAGUCACUCCAACUCGAUUUUUUCCACACAAUACCGCACCUACAGGGAUGCAACGAACCUUAAGCUGAAUGACGAAUUGAGGGGGAAUCUUAUGUAUUUAUCUUC